Molecule: long non-coding RNA, 193 nt
Organism: Cynoglossus semilaevis (tongue sole)
Lineage: Eukaryota; Metazoa; Chordata; Actinopteri; Pleuronectiformes; Cynoglossidae
Exons: 2
Source: RefSeq, a predicted model, not a curated record
CGCUCUCCCCCCCCUGUCCAGCUACUACAGGACCAACGAGGUGGACCAGUUCCAGUAUUCCCGGCCGUUCAGGAAAGGGGAGAAAGACCCGGACAACGAGUUCGCGACCAUGUGGAUCGAGAGGACCACCUACGUCACGGCCUAUCGCUUCCCGGGGAUCCUCAAGUGGUUCGAGGUCAAGUCCGUGUCCGUG